This 403-nucleotide ribosomal RNA is filed under the name uncultured bacterium. RNAcentral describes it as "partial 16S ribosomal RNA". It matches the Rfam family "Bacterial small subunit ribosomal RNA", at positions 30 to 526 of the family's 1533-position model. The record is from RNAcentral.
AUUGAACGCUGGCGGCAGGCCUAACACAUGCAAGUCGAGCGAGCGGCGGACGGUUUAGUAGUUUAUGGGGACUGCACUAUAGCGGGGGAUAACUACUUGAAACGGUCGCUAAUACCGCAUACUAUCGGAUAACCCAUAUGUGAUUAGAUAGUAGCUGAGGUAAUGGCUCACCUAGGCGCCGAUGCCUAGCUGGUCUGAGAUGAUGAUCAGCCACACUGGGACUGAGAGCCGGCCCAGAAUCCUACGGAGGCAGCAGUGGGGAAGAUGGCACGAUGGGGGCAAGCCUGAUGCAGCCAUGCCGGGUGUAUGACGAAGGCCCUAGGGUUGUAAAGUACUUUCAGUCGGGAGGCGUUACCGACAAGAGAAGCACCGGCUAACUCCGUGCCAGCAGCCGCGGUAAUAC